GGGCCCUAUCCUGCUCCGUGUGGGACCCCGCAUUCGGGCCUCCUUAGGCACCGGGUAAAAAGGGGAGAGAGGUACAGGCGUGUAGGUGCAGCCAUAGAGGUGUAUGCGUGUACCAUGCAUGGAGCACCACGCACACGCUAUAGAUACACUGUAUAUAGGACCCAUAUAAGACAUCUGCGUGCCCGAGUGUAUUUAUAAGCAUAUAUUUCCAAAUGACACAUGCGCACACAUGUUUAUUUAUUACUUACAUAUUAUAUAUUACGUAUAUUGCAUUAUAUAUUUAUUGUGUGUUGUUUUAUAUUACGUAUAUAGUAUACAUAUGUAGUAUACAUAUGUAUAUAUAUAUAUAGUAUGUGAGAGAUAUAUAUUGUAUAAAUACACACCUCGCGUUGCUCUUUACAGUGCCGGGGGCUCGGUGCUUCUAGUCCUGCUGCACUGCAGCCCCCUCCGCCGCUGUCCUCCGACCCCACUCGACGAUUCUUCUCCCAGUGUACGAAACCCCCACAGAGAGAAGGGUGCGAGGGGCAGAGGGGACACAGGAGGGGGAUCAGCCCUGUCCCGGGCACGGCUCGGCCUUGGUGUAGCCCCAGGAGGGCCACAGGCUGUCACCUCCCAGGCCACCCACUCGGGGCUGUCCCAGCGAGGCCGAGCCCCGAGCUCGCUUCGCGUUUGCAGUCUCGAAGGCCGGUAUACCCCGACGGCACGGAGCAGCCCCUGCCCCGCUCCAUAGGGCCACUCCGAGCCACCGCCUCCCCACGUCGAGGAACAGCGGUUUGAGGGAGAAUUGCGGCUCUGGGGAAUGCUUUUACUCUCCGGUCCGGGGGGAGGGGGGUCAGCCCUGGGCUGGCCUUGGGGUCAGCGAAACCCGAGGAAAGCGGCCGCUCUGGGAGACGCGAUCCCCUCUUUCCUCUUCUGCUGUCGUCUUUCUUGUCCUUCCCGUGGAAGCGGGGACACUCCCGCACCCCGCAGACGGGAACGGAGGGAAAUGAUCCGUUCCGAACUCCGUCGCCCCGUUAGUUUUCUUUCGGCCGCGACUUUCGCCGAGAAACCCAAAAGCACUAAGAACAGCACACCAUCAGUCGAACAAAAACUUCAGCGUUUCGGAGGAACUCUCAAACUUCAGCCCAAUCUCCGCCCGCCGCCGAAACCGGACCCGUUCGAAGAGAUGGAUGAUAUGACACUCCACCUUGCCCUGGAAGGUAACAGGAGGCAGAAAAACCUCUCUGGAAUACAUCAGUGCCCUUCUACUUUUGGUAUUCAAACUGACAGGUGGUUCCAUCACACAGCCUUUCCACAGGCUGACCAAGCUGCAGCUUAAACGUAGCCAGACAAUCUUCAUAUGAAGCAAUAGGGCUCCAGAUGGCCAAAAGACUUCACACAAGCAGCAGAGGACAACUGAAUGAGGAGGAAGGUUCUUCCAAAACGCAUACCAGUGCCCAAACUUCUUUCUUGCUUGUCCAGUUCUUUGUGGUGGCUGCACAGAGGACACAUGCCCCAGACAACGCAGGGCUGAUGCCUAGACCCAAGCCAGAUGACAGCCAUUUGGAGAUGUAAUGACUAAGUGUGGGCAUUCCAGGGGUGGGAGCAUGCUGCAGAACCCCCCUUGGAGCAACCUACAUGAGAAGCUUAGCUGAAGAACAGGACCAACAUGGAUGUAGAGGAGGAAGAUUACAUGGUUUCAAUACAGAGAACUCCAAACAUUAACUUGCUGAGGUCGCAUUGGUGUUGUUGGAAGCAUUUACUGUGGGAGAAUGAAGGCAUCCAGAAAAAUGAACACUCCCUAUAGUAAAGAUGAUGGGGUUCUUCAGGUUGGUGUUUUGAGGACUCUGACAAUCACAUGUGUAUUUUAUGUGGAAAAAUAACCCUCUUCCCUUUAUGCUCCUCUAUAGUCAAACAGCUCACUCAUCAAUGGCAAUCUCAAACAGCUUCCUUGCUACCUUCCUUUUCCUUCUUCUGUACCUUCUUCCCUUAAAACAAGGAAGUUCAGCUCCACCUGUAUACACAGUUGUAUAAUUUUUCACAUGUUAAACAUACCAGAGGUUCCUGUUCCUGACAUUCCCAAGACAGUGCAGUGGAAGAAAGAAUACUGGGACUGCUAUUGUUUGUACCCCUCACAUUUUAUUAGAGCGUACAAUGUUGAGAUGUUGCUUUCAAGCCUAGUACUCUGUUGCUUAUAACUGUUUUGCCUCUUUGAGACCAAAUAAGUUUAGUAUUAAAAUAAAAUAAGUUAAAAAAAAGAACGACAGAGGUACUACCACAAAAUCAUCUGUUCAGACAUCAUCACGAGGUGAAGUUUACAUUUAAAAUAACACUUUCUACAUCCUGGCAUUACUGAUCAGUCAGGCUUGCCUGCUGAAGUAAUCAGGACCAUUGCUAUAGAAUUUUCUGUAAACAAAUAAAGAUUUUUUGCAGCUUCUGUGUAUGAACUGAGUCACAGUGAGUGGCUUAACAAGUCUAUGCGUGAACUGUUUUAGGACUCAUGUAGAGGCCAAAAGAAAAACAGUUAUUCUGCACUCUUACCUUGCUCAAUACGGCUCUUGUCUAAGAAAAACAAUUCUCCACUUUUCCCAGUAAGCACUGGCACUUUAAGUUUCUUAUCUCUCAUCGAACUUUUGUCACGUACUUUCAUGAAAGCUGAGCUGAAAGACCACAUUUCAAAGAGAUGCUACACUUCACCCUAAACAGAGUCCAAUGUUGUCUCUAGUCCACAUUAAUAUCAAAGCACUCAUUUCAUUUUCAAUUACCUCGUAGAACCAUGCAUGCUCUUCCACUUUCUCCACUUCACUGCUGAAGAAGAAAAGAAGAGAGGAAAAUAUGUUGGCAGCUGUAGGAUGCCCAAUAUGCUUGGGUAGCUUUGCCCCAUUUUUUGAUCUUUACAGAGCCUCUUGCAGAGCUCCACCUUCAUCUCUAGAUGAGGAAUGAGAGGGUGGAGAACAUCUGCUGGUGCCAAUCUUGGAGCAGAAAGCAGACAACAGCCUUUGUAACACUCAGUGACAGGCACCGAUAACCUGGUUUUUAACUGAUCCUCCCUGGAACACACAUGUUAAGCAUCAACAUCCUUUAAUUUUUUCUUCAAAGAAAAUAAAGUCGUUUUUAUUUAAAGCAUGGGAUACUUUUUUCUCCUACUGAAGAAAGCCAGAAUUUGAAAUCACAGAAGUACUUAAACACACACCAAGCUUUAAAUACCGCUGGGGAUUUAUUCAGCACUCAAACAUGUGUUAAUGGAUGAAUUUAAGUACGUGCUUAAGCACAUUGCUGAAUCAGGGCCUAAAACAGCAUAUUCUCAUUUUAUUUAUAUUUUUAUGAAAUUUCUUUAAAUGCUCAUGCAAAUAAAUUGGUGAAACUUGACUUCACUGGAGAAGCAUUUACUGGAAAUUAUUUCUUAAUUAAAAUCUGAAGCCAUAAAUUUUCAUCUACAGAUGAUGUGCAGGAUUUUUCCAGUGUGAAAUUGACACGGAACAGAAUUUUGAGGGGAGAAAGGUGGACGGUCAUCUGGAAACUGUAGCGAAAUAUGACAGAGGCAAGGGAACAUUUAGCAAAUACUAUAAAAAGAUAUUCAAAGGUUUCAAUUGACAAACUAUCUUCUAAAGAGAGUUCUUGCAGAAAAUACUUUUUUUGUUGCUUCACACUGAAAUGCCUGUACAGAUGCAGUUCCUGUACAGAGAAAUGCAGUUUUUAGUAUCAGCUGCCCUUAGAAAUAAGAUUUUCAAGAUCGAGGAGGAAAUAAGCAGCUUCUAUGAGGUGUUGAUCUUGAAAUGCCAGCCUUGCUUCAGUACAGUGCAGAGAGCUAUUGGACCAGACCCUGGCUACUGAUAGCCUGUUUGAAUUGGAGCACACUAAGCACAGCAUAAUAACUGUAACUCAAAACCUGUUUCUUGAAAAUAUAUUACACUCGUCCAAGUAAGCAGCUUCUACACUGCAACUGAACCAUAAAUGCUGAGGAUAAUUUGCUCAUUGUUUUUUAGUGGGGAGGCACAACUUUCCACUCUUCCAAAACAAGGCUCAGAGCAAAGAGUAUCCAUCUGCAUACUAGUGGAACACAUGCAUCAAAACAGAGAAAAGAAAGAAAUCUCUUGAUUUUCAGACAGACAUUUGACAUACCCAUGGGUAAACCUUUUGCCACAUGUGAAGGGGUAUGGUAUAGAAUGAACAGUCAAAAUUCCUGGUCCAAGUGAGAUGCUAUCUGGGGAAAGAAGUCAACCCUUCUCUUAGGUGCUCAGCUCUAAUGAUGCUGCAGAAAAAUGAGACUGACUGAAACUCGUGUUCAUGCAGAUUUCUGUUCUGCAAGUGUUCUGACAUCUGCCAAGAGUAAUUGACAGCUAAGCAAGGAUGUGUCCAUGCAUGUCAUUUUUCUGUGUUCAGGAGGCUUUGAGGGGAAUUUGGGGAAAUUUAGGGCUGGCACUCCAGAGCCCCCAACCUUGGAUGGUUUUUCCUAACAGAAAAUAGUGUCCUUACCCCUGAGAGACAGUCUGUGACAUGGAGACCCUGAACUGUGGAUGCAAGGACAGGCAAUGAAGACAAACAUGGAUGGAAGAGGGGCAGACAGGAGGUGAUGGAUAGAAACAGAAGUAGCAAGGAGUCUUUGCACUGAAUGCUGGCCCAGUGCUCCACUAGGCUUGGUCAGCAAUGUAAAAGGCAUGGGAACUCCUAUGUGAAGCUGAAAGAAAGCACUAAUCUCCAAAAAUUGUUCAGUGGCAAACACCUGAGACCAUGACAGGCUGGUAAGAAGAACUUGUGUGAUUGAGGGACCAGAAAGAUUUGUCUCUUAGCUGAUCUUUUAAGGUCAAGAUGGCUUUUGAGGUUUUUUUUUGAGAGAAUUGAGUCAGCGUGCAUGCCCACCAGCCUGCCAGAUAGCAAGCAUGUGAUUACCACAUGAUCAACUGCUGGUUACCUAUAUGACAAGAGCAGGUGCUGUUGCCCAAAGCAACAAGAGAUGCAUGAGAGCAGAAAGAACAGGAUAAAAACUGAAGAGAUUGGAGGUAGUGUGAGUGCCCCCUCCAUUAAAUAUCUCCUUCAUUAACUGAAGUGAGACACUACAUUGGCAUCACAGGGUAGUAUAUACCCCAACCUGAGAGCAUUGUCAUCCAAGAAUAUGAGUGUACCCUCAUAUUCUCAUAUGAGUGUACAGGACAGACCUCGAGGUGAGAGGAUUAUAAUUUUAGACUUAGAGUUUGUAAUAAAUCAGUUGGGCAAAAUCUUGGCCUUCUUUGCUAUCUUAGUCUUGCUCCGGGAAUGUAUAUAUGGAGCCAUUUCCUCCAGUAACCGAAACAAGACGUCUCCGUGCCAUAAAAGCAAAAUGAGGUAAUUUCAAUAUAAGAAGUCAGAGAUGUACGUUAAUAAAAGCAAAUAAUACUUAAAGAUUAAAAUAAAUGUUUUUUAAUUUUGGAAAAAAAAAAAUAUAUAUAUAUAUAUAUAUAUAUUUACAUAUUUGCUUUAGGAAAUCCCAGGAACUUAUCUUUCACUGUUUUCUCUCCUGAUGAGAGAGCAGAAAUUUCCUCCUCCUUUUCUGAGAGUGCAGAUACCUCUCCUUUUUCUUUCUGGACAGGAUGUGAUGUGGGGCCAAGCCAGGCUAAGGAAGAAUUUGGGUCCUCUGCAUUGUGCUGUGGCCUGGGAGCACCACAUCACAGACUUAUUCCAGGAGAAAAUAACAGUAGGGGUCAGUACAUAAUUGCCAAUGACCACAGCCUCUGGGGGAGACAAGGAUAUGAUGGUUUUAAAGGAAGCAUCUAACAAGGAAGAAAUUACAGUUACAGAAGAGAUCUUAGGCAGCAGACUGACUGAGCAAGUCCUGUAAGAGGAUUUCUGCAUGAAUCACUGUGCUUCAUGAGGUCAGAGGAUCAGAUCCAAGCCCACACAGUCCGCUUCUGAACCAUGCAGAGGGAGUUGUUAAGUGAGAAACUGAGUGCUGUACCAGG
This is a long non-coding RNA of Meleagris gallopavo (turkey), 5915 nucleotides long. The record is from Ensembl. NCBI's taxonomy places the organism in Eukaryota, Metazoa, Chordata, Aves, Galliformes, Phasianidae.